GAUGAACGCUGGCGGCGUGCUUAACACAUGCAAGUCGAACGAGAAGUGAAGACGGAAACCUUCGGGCGGAAGGCUUUAUUUCGAGUGGCGGACGGGUGAGUAACGCGUGGGUAACCUGCCUCAUACAGGGGGAUAACAGUUGGAAACGACUGUUAAUACCGCAUAAGACCACAGCACCGCAUGGUGCGGGGGUAACAACUCCGGUGGUAUGAGAUGGACCCGCGUUCGAUUAGCCAGUUGGCGGGGUAACGGCCCACCAAAGCGACGAUCGAUAGCCGAUCUGAGAGGAUGACCGGCCACAUUGGGACUGAGACACGGCCCAAACUCCUACGGGAGGCAGCAGUGGGGAAUAUUGCACAAUGGGGGAAACCCUGAUGCAGCGACGCCGCGUGAGUGAAGAAGUAUUUCGGUAUGUAAAGCUCUAUCAGCAGGGAAGAAAAUGACGGUACCUGAGUAAGAAGCCCCGGCUAACUACGUG
Molecule: ribosomal RNA, 478 nt
Filed under: uncultured bacterium
Lineage: Bacteria
Description: partial 16S ribosomal RNA
Rfam family: Bacterial small subunit ribosomal RNA
Source: RNAcentral